GAGAGUAUAGCUCAGAGGUAGAGCACAUGCUUAGCAUGCACAAGGCCCUGGGUUCAAUUCCCAGUACCUCCA
Molecule: transfer RNA, 72 nt
Filed under: Camelus bactrianus (Bactrian camel)
Lineage: Eukaryota; Metazoa; Chordata; Mammalia; Artiodactyla; Camelidae
Also listed under: 3 other names
Rfam family: tRNA
About the family: Transfer RNA (tRNA) molecules are approximately 80 nucleotides in length. Their secondary structure includes four short double-helical elements and three loops (D, anti-codon, and T loops).
Source: Rfam by way of RNAcentral